This 460-nucleotide ribosomal RNA is filed under the name uncultured bacterium. Its description in RNAcentral is "partial 16S ribosomal RNA". It matches the Rfam family "Bacterial small subunit ribosomal RNA", at positions 338 to 795 of the family's 1533-position model. The record is from RNAcentral.
CCUACGGGUGGCAGCAGUGAGGAAUAUUGGUCAAUGGACGAGAGUCUGAACCAGCCAAAUAGCGUGAAGGAUGACUGCACUAUGGGUUGUAAACUUCUUUUAUAUGGGAAUAAAAUGUUCCACGUGUGUCAUUUUGUAUGUACCAGAUGAAUAAGGAUCGGCUAACUCCGUGCCAGCAGCCGCGGUAAUACGGAGGAUCCGAGCGUUAUCCGGAUUUAUUGGGUUUAAAGGGAGCGUAGGUGGAUUGUUAAGUCAGUUGUGAAAGGUUGCGGCUCAACCGUAAAAUUGCAGUUGAAACUGGCAGUCUUGAGUACAGUAGAGGUGGGCGGAAUUCGUGGUGUAGCGGUGAAAUGCUUAGAGAUCACGAAGAACUCCGAUUGCGAAGGCAGCUCACUGGACUGCAACUGACACUGAGGCUCGAAAGUGUGGGUAUCAAACAGGAUUAGAUACCCGAGUAGUC